RNAcentral lists this ribosomal RNA (448 nucleotides) under uncultured bacterium. Its description in RNAcentral is "partial 16S ribosomal RNA". It matches the Rfam family "Bacterial small subunit ribosomal RNA", at positions 29 to 523 of the family's 1533-position model. The record is from RNAcentral.
AACGAACGCUGGCGGCAUGCCUAACACAUGCAAGUCGAACGAGAUCUUCGGGUCUAGUGGCGCACGGGUGCGUAACGCGUGGGAAUCUGCCCUUUGGUUCGGAAUAACAGUUGGAAACGACUGCUAAUACCGGAUGAUGACGAAAGUCCAAAGAUUUAUCGCCAGAGGAUGAGCCCGCGUAGGAUUAGCUAGUUGGUGUGGGAAAGGCGCACCAAGGCGACGAUCCUUAGCUGGUCUGUGAGGAUGAUCAGCCACACUGGGACUGAGACACGGCGCAGACUCCUACGGGAGGCAGCAGUGGGGAAUAUUGGACAAUGGGCGAAAGCCUGAUCCAGCAAUGCCGCGUGAGUGAUGAAGGCCUUAGGGUUGUAAAGCUCUUUUACCCGGGAUGAUAAUGACAGUACCGGGAGAAUAAGCUCCGGCUAACUCCGUGCAGCCGCCGCCGUAA